AAGACUACACUUUCAGGGAUUAUUUCUAUAGUUCCUUAGUAGAGAGGUUUCUCUGAUGUGGAGAGCACCGGAAACAACGAGGAGGAGGCACAGUGUUCUCUCCUGAAGCUGGCCCUGGUGAUUAUUUUGUGCAACUGCCCAUUGCUAUUGAUGCUCAUUCUUCUCUUCCCUGGGAGAGUUGGAGGGAGAGAAUGCAGUCUGAGUGGC
Small nucleolar RNA from Jaculus jaculus (lesser Egyptian jerboa), 207 nucleotides. Its record names the gene U3. It matches the Rfam family "Small nucleolar RNA U3". From Rfam's summary of the family: Small nucleolar RNAs (snoRNAs) are involved in the processing and modification of rRNA in the nucleolus. There are two main classes of snoRNAs: the box C/D class, and the box H/ACA class. Lineage: Eukaryota; Metazoa; Chordata; Mammalia; Rodentia; Dipodidae. The record is from Ensembl.